CAACAACAACAACAACAACAACAAAAACAACGAAGACCAUGACAAUGACGACGACGACAACAACGACAACAACAACAACGAUGAUAAACAACGACAAUGACGAUACAUUACGACAACAACAACAACAACAAUGACAACAACGACAACGACAACAACAACCUCAUCGACAAGAAAAACAAUAACAAAAACAGCGAAGACAACAACGACGAAGAUGACAACAACAACAUCAACAACAACAACGACAACAACAACAACAACCAAAACAACAACAACAACAACAACAACAACAACAACAACAACGACAACGACGACGAUGACGACUACGACGAUGACGACGACGACGAUAGCGACGACAACAACGACAACGACAAUGACAACGACAACAACAACAACAACAACAACAACAACAACAACAACAACAACAACA
RNAcentral lists this long non-coding RNA (427 nucleotides) under Hordeum vulgare. Its description in RNAcentral is "long non-coding RNA (HVUL_LNC021417)". Lineage: Eukaryota; Viridiplantae; Streptophyta; Magnoliopsida; Poales; Poaceae. The record is from RNAcentral.